RNAcentral lists this ribosomal RNA (253 nucleotides) under uncultured bacterium. RNAcentral's name for it is "partial 16S ribosomal RNA". It matches the Rfam family "Bacterial small subunit ribosomal RNA", at positions 524 to 776 of the family's 1533-position model. The record is from RNAcentral.
UACAGAGGUCCCAAGCGUUGUUCGGAUUCACUGGGCGUAAAGGGUGCGUAGGUGGCCGAGUAAGUCUGACGUGAAAUCUCCAAGCUCAACUUGGAAACUGCGUCGGAUACUAUCCGGCUAGAGGAUCGGAGGGGAGACUGGAAUACUUGGUGUAGCAGUGAAAUGCGUAGAUAUCAAGUGGAACACCAGUGGCGAAGGCGAGUCUCUGGACGAUUCCUGACACUGAGGAGCGAAAGCGUGGGGAGCGAACAGG